RNAcentral lists this non-coding RNA (68 nucleotides) under Phycisphaerae bacterium. Lineage: Bacteria; Pseudomonadati; Planctomycetota; Phycisphaerae. The record is from RNAcentral.
CGCCGAAACGCGCGGAACGCGCGCGUAGCCCGGGCGCUUGAGACCCGGGCCUGACGAGGCAACCAAAA